UCUGGUGACUAUAGCAAGGAGGUCACACCUGUUCCCAUGCCGAACACAGAAGGUAAGCUCCUUAGCG
Molecule: ribosomal RNA, 67 nt
Filed under: Staphylococcus aureus
Lineage: Bacteria; Bacillati; Bacillota; Bacilli; Caryophanales; Staphylococcaceae
Source: RNAcentral